AAGAGGUCUCCAUUCACGUCUCUCCAUGUCCUUUUAUCUGGACAGCGGAUAGGUCGGCGUCAAGUUGCUUAAUGAUGACUGACAGCGUCAUGAGCCAAUCAGCAGUCAAGGAAGGCAGCCUAAGAGAUCGAUAGAGAAAGGGGAGAGAGAGAGAGCGAGAGAGAGGGAGGGAGAGAGAGAAACACAGGCACUCCCAUAAGGACAUAUAUGGACGUAACACUCCCACCCUUAAGAACAAACUCGUUUG
Sinocyclocheilus grahami is the source of this 247-nucleotide long non-coding RNA. RefSeq lists it as uncharacterized. Lineage: Eukaryota; Metazoa; Chordata; Actinopteri; Cypriniformes; Cyprinidae. The transcript is spliced from 2 exons. The record is from RefSeq and is a predicted model, not a curated record.